Molecule: long non-coding RNA, 836 nt
Filed under: Homo sapiens (human)
Lineage: Eukaryota; Metazoa; Chordata; Mammalia; Primates; Hominidae
Description: p53 upregulated regulator of p53 levels
Source: RNAcentral
GUGGUGACCUGGGAAUCAAUGUGUGAGGUGGUGCUAUGUAGCAGGAACCCCUCUUGCUUUGCAAAUAGUUUUUUGUUUGUUUUCCUUUUUGCCCAAUAGAGCCCUGCUCUACUGACCCUUCAAUGUGCCCGUGUGCCUAAAUAUUCCUGGUCGUGUGAAAAGAACCCAGGUAUUAGCUGAACUAAGGAGCACAAUUCUGCAACAUUUUGGCACCCAAACACGGGGCUUGAGAAAUGAAUGCAAUUGGAGAAACUGGUUGUUUUACCAGGCGUUGAUUGGAAAUGUGUGCUUCCCUUUAAGCAGUCAAGCUCAACUUGCAGAACUGAUGGGAACCCCUUGGGAAAACUGGCCUCAAAUGUUUGUCUACACAGUCCACAUACAGGGUUCUUAACCUGCGAUGCUUUUGUGUAGAUGAGGGAAACUUCCCAGGGCUUGUCUGGGUAUGCCCACAGUGGACUGGAGCCCAAAAUGCACACUGGAGGAAGUGGAUGGAGCCACGUGGAUGUCAUGCCUUAUGCAGGGGAGGAGCCUGCUCUCUUCAGCUCCUGUGGUAAUGUGGGAAUCGAUCUGUGAGGAAACACUUUCUGAAAAUGUCAGAACUCUUGAAAACAUGGAUGAGGAAAAGCAUAAGUACUGCUUUAUGCUUUUCUUAUGAAUUUUAAAAGAUGUAAUUUAAAGGUACUUUAAAGUGAUAUUUGUGCCCUUGUAACUGAUUCAAAGUAGACUGCUAAGGACAAUAAGUAAUAAGAGUCUACAAAUAUCAGUAAAUUAUGAGAAAAAACGGUCUAAUGGUACUUAAAAUUGCAUUGUGAUUUAUUAAAUAACAUUGAACAGCU